UAAAACGUAGGACACGAGCGUUAUCCGGAGUUACUGGGCGUAAAGGGCGUUCAGGCGGGUGAUUAAGUUCGCUAUGAAAGCGCCGGGCUAAACCCGGCGAGGCUGGCGGAUACUGAUCAUCUGGAGUGAGUCAGAGGAAGGUAGAAUUCCGCGUGUAGUGGUGAAAUGCGUAGAGAUGC
Molecule: ribosomal RNA, 179 nt
Filed under: uncultured bacterium
Lineage: Bacteria
Description: partial 16S ribosomal RNA
Rfam family: Bacterial small subunit ribosomal RNA
Source: RNAcentral